Molecule: RNA transcript, 4130 nt
Organism: Labeo rohita (rohu)
Lineage: Eukaryota; Metazoa; Chordata; Actinopteri; Cypriniformes; Cyprinidae
Gene name: C2H2-type zinc finger protein
Exons: 11
Source: RefSeq, a predicted model, not a curated record
GUCGUCAGAGCUGUGUACACACAAUUUUGUUUUUCCACAUUCCAAAACAUUCAGUGACUUGUAAUGUAAUUUUGCGUGGUAAAUCAAUUACAUUCUGCACAGGAGAAAUGAACGAUACAUCAAGCAACUUAUAAGUUUCUUGACUUAAAGAAAAACAGUUAAAUGACUACAUUAUGGAUAUUGAAUUCCCCAAACAAGUGCACAUGGACGGAGUUCCUCUCCCUCUCUCCGCACUGCGGCUCUUGGUCCCUCCUGUACGCCUCAUGUCUGCCUUCAUGUGGAGAAUGGUGCAGCAGAAGGAUGUGAUGCAGUAUGGGAUGCUGGCAGAUUUUGUUUCAUUGGUGUCAGAAGCAGUUCCAGAACUAGUUAGUCAUAGACUUGGAGUUCAACUCAUACUAGGACUGCGUGCAAGGCUUGUUUUGGAAUUGUGUGAGAGAGACAACGCUGCCGACAUGCACGCAAUCCAGACUCACCUCAACGGCAUUCAGCUUGUGGAUCGCACUGUGGUGGGAGAAGCAGGUGUUCGUUUUGAGGAGCUGGUCCAAACACUUAUUAAAGAUGUGGAUGAGAAGGAGCAUUUCUUCCAGCACGUAUUUCCAGUGGAUUUCGGCACUGACUUUGACUUAGCCAUUCAGGUUCUGAUGUGGCAUUUCCUGUCUAAGUUGGAGAACUUCCUGCCAAUUCCUGACCUCCAGCAGACUCUGGCUUGGCUUGAUCCACUAUUGCCUGUUUCUGAAGACUGUGAGGAGUUCAACAGUCAGUCAGAUCACUUGAAGACACUGCUUGAGCACCACAAGAACCUUGGACAUCUAGAUACCAAAUACUCUUGUCAGGCCAUGAGUGCAGGUAACUGCAUCCUGUCCACACUCUCUGGUAAAGCCAGUGAGAUCCAUCAGAAGAGAGUAGGUCACGUGCACAUGUUCGACAGACCGACCUCAGACCCGAAAAGUGCUGUGGAAGCAGUAGGAGCAUCUGAAUGUACAGAGAAUCUGGUAGGACCGGAUGAAGUUGGAGAGCAUUUUAUUACAGAAUCAGAGUGUGCGAGAGGUGUGGGUUUGAACGAUUCUGUGCUAACACUUCCAGAAGACCACAGAUCUACAGAUGUAACAGAGAAAUCAGUCUCUAAUACUGAACAGUCAGAGUUUCUGUCUCCUCCUUUGGCUACACAAUCAGUGCCUGAAGAUAGUGCUCUACACAAAACAAUUAUGGGCAAACGCAGAUCUGCACAGAAGCCUAAAACCAUGUUGAAGAUUAAAGUGGUCAGCCUUCAAAAGCUGAAGAGAAAAUCAGAAACGUCUAAGAAAACAUAUGGAACAAACCUCCAGCAUCAGGCAGAAAACAAGAGUGACCCUAUAGACAAGUCUGAUUGCACCUCAAAUAACACAAAUGGAUCCUCUCGCACCUACUCAUGCUUGCAGUGUCCAUUCAGUCACUCUCACGAGGAAACCCUCAGGAGUCACAUACAGAAAGUCCACUCCAAUGAGGUAAUAGGAAGUGAGGCUGUGAUCGACACCUCUUUGCCUAACAGCUGCCACGUUUGUGGCAAAAGCUACCGCUUCCCAUGUUUAUUAAAAGCCCACCAGCGCACCCACACCAGAGAGCGUCCUUUUAUCUGUCCGGUAUCCAAAUGCGGCCGCAGUUUCUCCCAUUCCCAGGCUCUCCGUCGCCAUCGACUCGUUCACGCACCUAAUGAUGUUCCUGCGAAAAACAAACCACAAAAGCCAGAAUUCCAAACCUAUGACUGUCUAUAUUGCGUAGAGACCUUCAGCUCGCUCAGCGCCAGGAGAGACCAUCACAAGACCCACCCUGAAGAAGCAGUGCAUCGCUGCAAUGUCUGUGGGAAGCAGCUCAGCUGCCAGGCAGCUCUAAUCAGACACAAGCGGAUCCACACAGAGGAACGACCCUAUAAGUGUACCGAAUGUCAGUCCAGCUUUAUCUGCUCGACUUCGUAUAAACGGCAUCAGCUGACCCAUCAGCCAGAGAGACCAUUCCUUUGUACAUGUGGGAAGGGUUUCACAUACCGCGGUGCGCUUUUGGCUCAUCAGCGCAUCCAUUUGGAAGAGAGACCAUACCGUUGUAUGGACUGUGGGAAGGGGUUUCUUUACCCAGGCGCUUUGGCCAAACACCAGAGGACCCACUCCAAAGAGAAACCCAGCCUUAAUGCACAUUGUGGGAAGAACUGUACUAUAGAAAAAUCACUUUGUUCACACUCAGACAGCCACGGCACAGAGAAGACUUUUAAAUGCACCUUGUGCGAUAAGUCGUUCGCUUUUAAGGCUAGCUUGACCCGGCAUAAACUCACACACACCGGAGAAAGACCGUUCCUUUGCGCAGACUGCGGAAAAGCCUUUUUCUCCUUCGGAGAGUUGCUCAAGCACCAGCGCUACCACACAGGACAUAAACCUUUCCAAUGCCCGGACUGCAAAAAGAGUUUCACGCAAGCUUGCUACUUGCAGGUCCACAUGAGGCACCACACAGGCAUACGGCCUUAUUCGUGUUCUCAGUGUAACAAGAGUUUCUUCAGUUCUUGCCGGCUUAAGAGGCACCUGAGGAUUCACACGGGAGAGAAACCAUUCCAGUGCUUGGACUGCGGAAAAAGAUUUCAACAGUCUUAUCAUCUGAAAGUGCAUUUUCAGACUCAUGUAGAAAAAAGAUCUGAAAGCAGGACGUCUAAAGCUUCACUGAUGGCGUCAAAAAUCACUUAGCUUAAUGAAAAAAGAAAGGUUAAGCGUUUACACACUUUACGCAUUUUGUUAUAUUUGCUCUCAUACACAUGGGAAUCUGUAAUGUGGGUUAAAUUACAGUUGAAGUCAAAAGUUUACAUACACCUUGUAGAAUCUGCAAAAUGUUAAUUAUUUUAGCAAAAUAAGAGGGAUCAUACAAAAUGCAUGUUAUUUUUUUUAAAUUUAGUACUGACCUGAAUAAGAUAUUUCACAUACAAAGACAUUUACAUGUAGUCCACAAGAGAAAAUAACAGUUGCAUUUAUAAAAAAUGACCCUGUUUGUUGAUUCUUAAUAAUGUGUUGUUACCUGAAUGAUCCACAGCUGUGUUUUUUUGUUUAGUAAUAGUUGUUCAUGAGUCCCUUGUUUGUCCUGAACAGUUAAACUGCCUGCUGUUCUUCAAAAAAAUCCUUCAGGUCCCACAAAUUAUUUGGUUUUUCAGCAUUUUGUGUAUUUGAACUCCAACAAUGACUGUAUGAUUUUGAUUUCCAUGUCUUUACAUUGAGGACUCAUAUGCAACUAUUACAUAAGGUUCAAACACUCACUGAUGCUUAAGACGGAAACACAAUGCAUUAAGAGCAUGGGGGUGAAAACUUUUGAACAAAAUGAAGAUGCAUACAUUUUUCUUAUUUUGCCCUAAUAUCAUAUUUUUUUAUUUAGUACUUCCCUACAGAAGCUACAGAAGAUAGUUUCCCAGAAGACAAAAUAAGUGACAUUUUCCCUUUCAAAUUCAAAAAGUUUUCACCCUCUGGCUGUUAAUGCAUUGUGUUUUCUUUAUUCAGGUAAGUACUAGAUAAAAAAAAUAAAUAAAUAACAUGCGUUUUGUAUGAUCCCUCUUAUAAUAACAUUUUGCAGAUUCUGCAAGGUGUAUGUAAACUUUUGACUUCAACUGCCUGCUUAUAUUAACAGUAAGCAGUACCAAAGUCAGGUGAAUUUGGUGAACGUGAUUUUUUUUAGUGUUUCAUCAUGGCUAAGGUCAAUAAAAAUGCAGUGUUGAUUUAUAACAACAAACGGUUGGGUUUUCUUAAAAACCACAUGCUAAAAUGUUUUAAUUUGACUUAUUACAGUGACUAAAACGUUUUGUAUUAUAACUGUAAUUUAUGAAUUAUGUCCACCUUAUUUUUCCUGAGUCUGGGUUCCAGUCUCAUCCACAUCCAGCUAUUUUUAGCUGUACAAAACAGCUCAUUUUGUUGCUUGAUAUUGCAAACAGCGGCUAAUGAACCGGAAAUCUCGCCCAUGAGCUUACUUCUGCGGUAAAGAAUAAGGUUUCUACAGCUGUCAUUAAUGGACUCCCAAAAAGUAAGAUUCCUGCCUUUCUUUCUUCUUUCCCUUACAGAGAACCAUAAAAUCAAUACUGCUAUAUUAGAACACAAAGCAGCAAAGGGCAGACACUUGUGGGUGGUUGUUUG